UCCCUGGUGGCUUAGUGGUAAAGAACCUGCCUACCAAUGCAGGAGAUGUGGGUUUGAUUCCCGGCUCAGGAA
RNAcentral lists this transfer RNA (72 nucleotides) under Bos taurus (domestic cattle). It matches the Rfam family "tRNA". Rfam says of the family: Transfer RNA (tRNA) molecules are approximately 80 nucleotides in length. Their secondary structure includes four short double-helical elements and three loops (D, anti-codon, and T loops). The record is from Rfam by way of RNAcentral. RNAcentral also lists the same sequence under 1 other name. Lineage: Eukaryota; Metazoa; Chordata; Mammalia; Artiodactyla; Bovidae.